AGCAGCCGCGGUAAUUCCAGCUCCAAUAGCGUAUAUUAAAGUUGUUGCAGUUAAAAAGCUCGUAGUUGAAUUUCGGGAUCAAUAUUUCGGUCAUGCCGUUGGUAUGCAUUGUUAUCAUUGAUUUCUCACCUUCUAAAGAACCGUAAUGCCAUUAAUUUGGUGUUACGGGGAAUUAGGACUGUUACCUUGAAAAAUUAGAGUGUUUAAAGCAGGCUCACGCUUGAAUACAUUAGCAUGGAAUAAUGAAAUAGGACAUCCGAUUCUAUUUUGUUGGUUUCUAGGAUCGAUGUAAUGAUUAAUAGGGAUAGUUGGGGGCAUUAGUAUUCAAUUGUCAGAGGUGAAAUUCUUGGAUUUAUUGAAGACUAACUACUGCGAAAGCAUUUGCCAAGGAUGUUUUCAUUAAUCAAGAACGAAAGUUAGGGGAUCGAAGACGAUCAGAUACCGUCGUAGUCUUAACCAUAAACU
RNAcentral lists this ribosomal RNA (465 nucleotides) under uncultured Glomus. RNAcentral's name for it is "SSU rRNA". It matches the Rfam family "Eukaryotic small subunit ribosomal RNA", at positions 569 to 1038 of the family's 1831-position model. Lineage: Eukaryota; Fungi; Glomeromycota; Glomeromycetes; Glomerales; Glomeraceae. The record is from RNAcentral.